UUCGGGAUGCCGGCGAGUGGCAAACGGGUGAGUAACGCGUGGAUACCUGUCCUAUGGUGGGGAAUAACGUUUAGAAAUGAACGCUAAUACCGCAUAAGCCCUACGGGGGAAAGAUUUAUCGCCAUAGGAGGGGUCUGCGUCGGAUUAGCUAGUUGGUGGGGUAAAGGCCUACCAAGGCGACGAUCCGUAGCUGGUCUGAGAGGAUGAUCAGCCACACUGGGACCGAGACACGGCCCAGACUCCUACGGGAGGCAGCAGUGGGGAAUAUUGCGCAAUGGGGGAAACCCUGACGCAGCGACGCCGCGUGGGUGAAGAAGGCCUUAGGGUUGUAAAGCCCUUUCAGCAGGAAAGAUUAUGACGGUACCUGCAGAAGAAGCUCCGGCUAACUCCGUGCCAGCAGCCGCGGUAAUACGGAGGGAGCUAGCGUUGUUCGGAAUUACUGGGCGUAAAGGGCGCGUAGGCGGUUUUGCAAG
Molecule: ribosomal RNA, 473 nt
Filed under: uncultured Magnetococcus sp.
Lineage: Bacteria; Pseudomonadati; Pseudomonadota; Magnetococcia; Magnetococcales; Magnetococcaceae
Description: bacterial SSU rRNA
Rfam family: Bacterial small subunit ribosomal RNA
Source: RNAcentral